This 483-nucleotide ribosomal RNA is filed under the name uncultured bacterium. Its description in RNAcentral is "partial 16S ribosomal RNA". It matches the Rfam family "Bacterial small subunit ribosomal RNA", at positions 29 to 507 of the family's 1533-position model. The record is from RNAcentral.
AUUGAACGCUGGCGGCAUGCCUUACACAUGCAAGUCGAACGGCAGCGCGGACUUCGGUCUGGCGGCGAGUGGCGAACGGGUGAGUAAUACAUCGGAACGUACCCUGUUGUGGGGGAUAACUAGUCGAAAGAUUAGCUAAUACCGCAUAAGACCUGAGGGUGAAAGUGGGGGACCGCAAGGCCUCACGCAGCAGGAGGGGCCGAUGGCUGAUUAGCUAGUUGGUGGGGUAAAGGCGGCCCAAGGCGACGAUCAGUAGCUAGUCUGAGAGGACGAUCAGCCACCCUGGGACUGAGACACGGCCCAGGCUCCUACGGGAGGCAGCAGUGGGGAAUUUUGGACAAUGGGGGCAACCCUGAUCCAGCAAUGCAGCGUGUGUGAAGAAGGCCUGCGGGUUGUAAAGCACUUUUGUCCGGAAAGAAAUCGCGCUGGUUAAGACCUGGCGUGGAUGACGGUACCGGAAGAAUAAGCACCGGCUAACACGUG